This is a small nuclear RNA of Sorex fumeus (smoky shrew), 108 nucleotides long. Lineage: Eukaryota; Metazoa; Chordata; Mammalia; Eulipotyphla; Soricidae. The record is from RefSeq and is a predicted model, not a curated record.
GUGCUCGCUUCAGCAGCACAUAUACUAAAAUUGGAACAAUACAUAGAAGAUUAGCAUGGCCCCUGCGCAAGGAUGGUUCCAUAUUUUUGAGGGUGUCUGAUCAUGGUG